Molecule: ribosomal RNA, 253 nt
Filed under: uncultured bacterium
Lineage: Bacteria
Description: partial 16S ribosomal RNA
Rfam family: Bacterial small subunit ribosomal RNA
Source: RNAcentral
UACGUAGGGUGCGAGCGUUAAUCGGAAUUAUUGGGCGUAAAGCGCGCGCAGGCGGUCCUUUAGGUCUGAUGUGAAAGCCCACGGCUCAACCGUGGAGGGUCAUUGGAAACUGGGGGACUUGAGUACAGAAGAGAAGAGUGGAAUUCCACGUGUAGCGGUGAAAUGCGUAGAGAUGUGGAGGAACACCGAUGGCGAAGGCAGCCCCCUGGGCUAACACUGACGCUCAGGCACGAAAGCGUGGGGAGCAAACAGG